This 461-nucleotide unclassified non-coding RNA is filed under the name Trichosporon inkin. Lineage: Eukaryota; Fungi; Basidiomycota; Tremellomycetes; Trichosporonales; Trichosporonaceae. The record is from RNAcentral.
CCUUUUGGACUCUCUAUGUUUGAGAUGGACUGGGGGGUAACUCCAGCAUGUUAACCAUAGACAGUUUAUAUAAGGAGUUGGUGAUCUGGUGACUUGGUGGCGUGUGUUGGGAGGGUGUGUCCCAGAGAAUGGGAUUGGGGACUCGGGGUCGGAGCUCAGCCUGUCUAGAUUUCAGGUUUCGCACGGUUGCCAAGUCCUGGGAUGGACUGGGGGAGACAAGGCCUCUGCAGCAGGCGAGUCUCCAAGUCUCCAAGUUGCCUGGGGCUGUGUCCAUGCUGCAUCAGGACCGAGUGCUUGAGUGUCUGAGCAGAUGCAUGCAUGCAACUCUGGUGCGGUGGCCAGAGGUCUCAAGGUGACAAAGUUCAGCUGGCAGGCUGAUGGUAGUCAUACCGAGUGCUGAGCACUCCUCUGACUGCAGCACGUCUGCCAGCAUCCUUGUGUGAGCUCUGGGCGACCGACUG